This 1042-nucleotide long non-coding RNA is filed under the name Erythranthe guttata (spotted monkey flower). RNAcentral's name for it is "long non-coding RNA (EGUT_LNC001297)". The record is from RNAcentral. Lineage: Eukaryota; Viridiplantae; Streptophyta; Magnoliopsida; Lamiales; Phrymaceae.
AGUUGAUCUUGUUAAACCUCUAAUGAACUAUUUAUUUAUUUAUUUAUAUGCAGGCAUCAAGAUAUCGCACUGCUAAUUUGGCUCUGUAAUAUAUUCUUCAUUAUCUGCGCGCGCCAUCAUCUGUCGGUGCAGACAUUGAGGCGCGGAGCAAAGGUUCGGUUGUUUCUUCCCUUGAAUAUACUUGUCAGCAAAAUUAUAUUUGCAAUUAUUAUCACAACUACUAUCGUUAUUUCCAUUAUCACUGUUUCGUCAAAUCAUCUAAUUAUGGAAGAUCUGCUUUCACGUCCUGUUGUCUCAAGGCUUGAGCAUUGCAAUCUUUGCUAUACGGAACUUGAGAAAGUAAAACGCUCCCUUCCUGCACUAAUUUUUCUUAUGAAAAAUGCUCUACUUAAGCUCGUUGUGCAAAUCGUUAAUUCAGUUAACUUUGUUACAUAUUGCAGAAAAGGAGGCUCGAUUGCCAAGUCUGCACAUGAGCUGAAUCUAGCACUUCAAGAAGUUUCAUGACUAUGUCAUAUUGCUUUUAAGGGACUGCAGAUUUUGGAACUACGCGCUUCAAAGUGGUGGCAGAAACUGUAAAUUCAUGCUCAAUGGAAAUACUGACCGAUUAUUUAUCUUUAACUUAAAAAAGAAAAAACCUUAGCCGACGGACUACCUGCUUACUUACUGCCAUUCAACAGUUGCUUGGUCGGUGGAUGCGGAUCCGUCUCACUGGUUUUUUACUUAACUCGAAAUAUCGACUUGUUAUUGUUGAGUGAAGUUGAUGAUUGUGUUUUGAGACAAGAGUCUCAUAGUUUAGUGAGGUUUUGUACAAUCUUGAUUUCUUUCUAAAUUUUUAUGUAGUUCGUUUUAUCUUUUCCGAACAUUGAAAGUGUCGGCAUGUUACGGAAGAGCUACUACUCUCCAGUAGUUGAGACUUUGAUAGCAUAGGGUGAGUUCUGCUAUUGUGUAAUGCAAGAGAGUUUGGAGAAUGUCAUAAGUUGGCUAUAUUGCCAACAUUUGUUGUACCACCACUUGCCACUAAGAAUAUUUUUUUAAAUACUUG